RNAcentral lists this ribosomal RNA (405 nucleotides) under uncultured bacterium. Its description in RNAcentral is "bacterial SSU rRNA". It matches the Rfam family "Bacterial small subunit ribosomal RNA", at positions 355 to 775 of the family's 1533-position model. The record is from RNAcentral.
UGGGGAAUAUUGGGCAAUGGGGGCAACCCUGACCCAGCGACGCCGCGUGGGGGAAGGCGGCCUUCGGGUUGUAAACCUCUUUUGUACGGGAAGAAGGAAGUGACGGUACUGUACGAAUAAGUCCCGGCUAACUACGUGCCAGCAGCCGCGGUAAUACGUAGGGGACGAGCGUUGUCCGGAAUUACUGGGCGUAAAGGGCGCGCAGGCUGUGCUGCAAGUCAGCUGUUGAAUGUCUGGGCUUAACCCGGGCAUGCGGUUGAGACUGCAGUGCUGGAGUGCUGUAGAGGCAAGUGGAAUUCCCAGUGUAGCGGUGAAAUGCGUAGAUAUUGGGAAGAACACCGGUGGCGAAGGCGACUUGCUGGGCAGCAACUGACGCUGAGGCGCGAAAGCCAGGGGAGCAAACGG